UGCAGCUGCAGCCCUAAAAAUACAAAACAAAAAACCAAGCAAAAAAAGAUUAAAAGAAUGAGUGAAAGACUCUGAAACCAGUUCAUAUCAUUCCCAUAUGGUAUAUGAUACUUUAAUAACUUCAAAGAGAACUGACUUAGCUAAUGUUUGGAGUAAAAUUUGAAUUUUAAGGCAAGGAAUUUAAACAUUAUAUAUAAUGACCUUAAUAGUGUGCAUUUUGUGACCUAUUAGGGCAACCUUAAAUUUUAGAUCCUGGUUUAAAUUACAGUUGUAAUAUUCUUCUCAGCAACUUCACUAUUUAGUCCAAAAGUUUAAAAUAUCUCAAGUAUAAAUGCAUUUUAAAAUUUAGAAUACUGCUUUUACCUCUAGGAAGCACUAUGAAGAACAAAUGAACUCGUGACUAACUUUACUAUUUCUUUUAUGAAAAUUACUUGAUUUUCAAUUUCAGGUUUAAUUCUUCAGUUUUGUUCUGUUUGGUUUCAGAAAGCACUGCAUUAAAUAUGUAUUAAUUCACGUGUGUCUGUGAGUGAGAGUUGGUUACAUAUAUGUGUGAUUCAUUACACAAUAUAACAUUUGCAUCCACUUUUUCCAGAGAUAAUUGUUAGUUUUAUGUCAACAUUCUAUGGUACCAAUUCUUGUACACAUGAGAUAUCUUUUUCUAAUUCUUUCAAGCAAGAAGUAAUUCCUUAGACUGAAGUGGGCUUCAAAUUGCUCCCAUGAUCACAACAUGAAGGCAAUAUUGGUCCCUGAAGGAAAGAUGAGUUGAUUAUAGAUCUAGAGCAUAGCUUUAAAAAAUUCUGUAGCCAGAGUACCACUUGUUCUAUAAAAACCUUGACCAUUUGGGAAGGAGCAAAAACCUCCCUGUCAAAUUAAUGUCAGUGUUUGGACACUUGACUUAAAGCAGGUACAUGAGAGGAAAAGGCCCUAGAAAUAAGAGCCCUGAAGCAAAAAUAGUAAUCCCUCCCAGACCAGAUCAAAGCCAUGAGAAUGAGGGUGCUGAAAAGCACCUUCAGAACAGUCUUUUGGCACAUUGCUCGAAGGCUAUUUUUUAAUGAAUGGAAAGGGAGACUCAUAACAACCUACUCUAUUCUAUAUAAUUAUAAUUCUAUAUAAUAGAAUGUAGAGAAAUAAGUAUGUGCCAUGAGUGUGGCCUAAAACUUUUACAUUCUUAUGAGAUAACCUUACAAUUCCAGACUACUAAAGUAAUUCUUAGUUUGUUUUAAUGAUUUUGAUAUCUUUCAUGUCAUGAUUCAUAAUCUUGGCUGAUGUUAUCUAUCUUCAAAGUCAUGUAAUUCAAAAAUGUACCUCCUGGAAAAGUAAUGUUUUACGUGUCAUACACUGCAAAUUACAUGCAUGAUUUUUUGUUUGUUUGUUUGUUUGUUUUUACUGAUUGCCAACAAGUCCCCAAGUCUCCCUUCAAUUCCCCAUCCCUCCUGGUGAGCCCAAACCAGAGAAAUUCGCACAAUCUAGAAAGUUAGGGGUAAUGCAGGCAUGAUAGAUUUGGUAUCUUUGCUGUACUCUGUCAAAUUGUCUUAGUACUAUUCCUGCUAAAACUCAUAAGAAAUUAAAAUGUGUAUCUUCUUUAUGAUUCUAAAAAUGCAUUUAAAAUAUAUAACUUUAUCAAAAUAUAUAUAGUAUAUGUUACAAUGUAGAACAGAGCAACUGAAUAGUUUCCCUAGACAUAUUAUUUUGAUACUACUUAGCCAUGCCAGUAUGUAAAAUAUUUUGAACAAUGGAAUAUUUAUCCUAAAGAAUGCAUCAUGUCAUAUGAUUAUUUACAAGGGAAUAUUUCCUCCUUGAUAAUCUAAAAUUUCCAUUGACCCUAGAUGGCAUUUGAUGAUCAUCAAAAACAUAUUUUGGGGAUUGCUACUAGUUAUCGGAAUUAUACAACUGGGCAGUAUAUGGAGUUUUCACUGUGGCACAGUGUGUUAUGGAUCCACGUUGUCUCUGAUGUGGAGCAGUUUGAUUCCUAGCUCAGCACAGUGGGUUAAGGAUCACGCACUUCCACAGCCAUGGUGUAGAUCGUAGCUGUGGCUCAGAUUCGAUCCCUGGUCCACAAACUUGCAUAUGCUGAAGGUAUGACAUAAAUAAAUAAAUAAAUAGGCCGUAUAAAAUAAUUUUGGCAAAAUAUUUAUUACUUGAAAAAUACUAAACCUUUACUACAUGUUUUCCCUGAAUAAUAGUGGCCAAAGCAAAUUAAAAUCUUAUUUUUUGGAGAGCGUUUUAUGCAGAAACUGCAUAAAUGCUGUGAUAAUGAAUCUAUUAGGGAGAGAUAAGCUAUUAUAUUAUUUUAGAAGAGUUAGAUUUUGGAAAGCUAAGAAAUUUUAUUUCAUCAGAUAACUGCACCCGUGUAAAUACAUGGAAUACUGUAUUCCCAAAUGUGAAUAUUUAGACUGCCUUGAAAGGAUUUGAAAUGAUCAGUGUGAAUCAAUCACACUGAAGGGCUUGAAGAGGUUAAUUAACUAUCACAAAUUGAUAUUAUCAGAAAGGGAUUCCUCCAGAAUCAUAGCUGUUUGGGACACUUUGGAUACUUAUUAUGGAAGUGCUUUUGCACUGAACUGAAAUCUGCCUCUUUGCUAUUCCCCCAAGGGCUCCAAAUUCUGCUCCAAGAUAAGUCUGCAACCUCUCAUACCUGGAGCUUUUUGAAGACUUGCUGGAUGCUGAAUGCUUUCUUUAAGAAUCUUUACAGCCAUGUUAAAUAAUACCAGUUUUUUCAAUUGUUCUUAAGAGGAAGUCUCUAGUCAUUUCAAAAUUCUAAUUAUCUACCUCCAGGUCAUAAAUAUUUUUGAAGUGGAAAUUCUGAAAAGAACAAAUUUUAUAUGUAGGCAUGUGACACAUUAUUGGAUUGUCUUGAGACUGUGGUUUAUUAAGACCCAGACAACUCUUAAAUUAUCGCAUGAUGAAGUACAUACUGGCUUGUAGCUGUUAAGAAUCUCAUUCACAUGUGUAACUCACUUGACCACUUUUCAAGUGUAAUUUAGUCGAUACUCUUGUUCUACCAACUACAAAAUUUCAAUAUUUUACAUAUAUUCUGUUGUUUUGAAGCCUGCCCACAAAAUUUCAGGAAAUACUUUUAAAAUUCCAUUUUAAAAUCAUUUGUUUAUAGGUACCUAUUGUCUACUCAAACAAUAUAUAUGAUAUGCCUAAUCUCUGUCAAGGACACGUCUAGGAAAAGCAAUGUCUGCCAAAAAGACACAUUUAGCUUUGGUCUCACCGAGGUGAACAUGGACAUGCCAGUGUAUCUCUGUGUGCUUCAUUUUCUUCAAAUGAGGAACGAGGCAGUUUGCUUAUUUGAAUAGAAAAGAAUGACCAAAUCUAAGUGCAUUUCUAGAGGUCAUAUUUUUCUCUCAUGAAUUUCCAUACCUAGGCCCAAACCUACUCCAGGGAAUUUUUUAAGGUUUGAAAUUUUAAAAAAUAAACUAUAGUUUUCAUUUCAUGUUAGUACAGUUUUCUUAUUUUAUAUUUUACAAAAUAUGAUGCUAAAAAUACAUGAGCAACAUAGUACAGCAAAUGUAAUUUUCAGAACCAAAUAUAAAAUGAUAUCCAAAUAUAUUGACAUCCAAUGAUAACAAGUUUGGAAAAAAAUGAGAAUUUAAAGUUCUAUUUAGACUUAAGAAACUUUGGUCGCAUGUUCUGAAAGAUCUGAUUUUAAUAUAAAGACUAUUGUGAUAUGACAUUCUUGGAAUACCCAAUUAUUAUUGCUGUUAAUUAGUUGAAAAUGAACAACUUCUGGAUAAAAGUGAAAGAAAUAAAACUUUAACUAUAAUGGAAAAUUAUAAUUAAAAUAUUAUUUUUAAAUCUUUACCUAUUUAUCUGAAACUUGCCAAAGACUCUCAGUAAAUGCUGGCCUCUAUUUAGAUAGCAUAUGCUAUUUUUUAGUGUAAUGAAAGAAUGUAAAUUAAAAUCAGGUUGUCAUGAGGAAUUUAAAAUUAUAAUCUAUGACAUAGAUAUUGAAACCCACAUUAGAAUUUAACAAGACUGGAUUUAUAGUGAAAGAUUACUUAUUUACACGAAUUAACAACUUGGGUGAGCUGGUUUGCAGAUUAUAUGGUCAGUUAAGUGACCACACACAACAGAAAAUAUCAUGG
RNAcentral lists this long non-coding RNA (4088 nucleotides) under Sus scrofa (pig). Its description in RNAcentral is "lncRNA (ENSSSCG00000061368.1)". The record is from RNAcentral. Lineage: Eukaryota; Metazoa; Chordata; Mammalia; Artiodactyla; Suidae.